Molecule: ribosomal RNA, 699 nt
Filed under: Acanthamoeba sp. Nl152
Lineage: Eukaryota; Discosea; Longamoebia; Acanthamoebidae
Description: SSU rRNA
Rfam family: Eukaryotic small subunit ribosomal RNA
Source: RNAcentral
GUUCCUGCCAUUGAGUUGGUGGGGACGUCACAGGGGGCCGCGCGUCGGCGGUCAAAAACCGGCGUGCGGUCCCUGGGGCCCAGAUCGUUUACCGUGAAAAAAUUAGAGUGUUCAAAGCAGGCAGACAUCAACCAUCUGCCACCGAAUACAUUAGCAUGGGAUAAUGGAAUAGGACCCUGUCCUCCUAUUUUCAGUUGGUUUUCGAGGACCAGGGUAAUGAUUAAUAGGGAUAGUUGGGGGCAUUAAUAUUUAAUUGUCAGAGGUGAAAUUCUUGGAUUUAUGAAAGAUUAACUUCUGCGAAAGCAUCUGCCAAGGAUGUUUUCAUUAAUCAAGAACGAAAGUUAGGGGAUCGAAGACGAUCAGAUACCGUCGUAGUCUUAACCAUAAACGAUGCCGACCAGCGAUUAGGAGACGUUGAAUACAAAACACCACCAUCGGGCGGGUCGUCCCUGGCCGGUGUCGUCCGUCGCGGCAACGCGGCGGGCGGCCGGUGGGGGCGGUCCGUUUCCCCGAUGGCCCGGUGAAUGACUCCCCUAGCAGCUUGUGAGAAAUCAUAAGUCUUUGGGUUCCGGGGGGAGUAUGGUCGCAAGGCUGAAACUUAAAGGAAUUGACGGAAGGGCACCACCAGGAGUGGAGCCUGCGGCUUAAUUUGACUCAACACGGGGAAACUUACCAGGUCCGGACAUAGUAAGGAUUGAC